GACGGAGGAUGCAAGCGUUAUCCGGAAUGAUUGGGCGUAAAGCGUCCGCAGGUGGCAGUUCAAGUCUGCUGUCAAAGACCGGGGCUUAACUUCGGAAAGGCAGUGGAAACUGAACAGCUAGAGUAUGGUAGGGGCAGAGGGAAUUCCUGGUGUAGCGGUGAAAUGCGUAGAGAUCAGGAAGAACAUCGGUGGCGAAGGCGCUCUGCUGGACCAUAACUGGCACUCAGGGACGAAGCUAGGGGGCGAGUGGG
This 251-nucleotide ribosomal RNA is filed under the name uncultured bacterium. RNAcentral's name for it is "partial 16S ribosomal RNA". It matches the Rfam family "Bacterial small subunit ribosomal RNA", at positions 524 to 776 of the family's 1533-position model. The record is from RNAcentral.